AGAACGAACGCUGGCGGCAUGCCUAAUACAUGCAAGUCGAACGAACUCUUCGGAGUUAGUGGCGCACGGGUGCGUAACGCGUGGGAAUCUGCCCCUUGGUUCGGAAUAACAGUUGGAAACGACUGCUAAUACCGGAUGAUGACGAAAGUCCAAAGAUUUAUCGCCAAGGGAUGAGCCCGCGUAGGAUUAGCUAGGUUGGUGAGGUAAGCUCACCAAGGCAACGAUCC
This 227-nucleotide ribosomal RNA is filed under the name uncultured soil bacterium. RNAcentral's name for it is "partial 16S ribosomal RNA". It matches the Rfam family "Bacterial small subunit ribosomal RNA", at positions 26 to 282 of the family's 1533-position model. The record is from RNAcentral.